RNAcentral lists this ribosomal RNA (253 nucleotides) under uncultured bacterium. Its description in RNAcentral is "partial 16S ribosomal RNA". It matches the Rfam family "Bacterial small subunit ribosomal RNA", at positions 524 to 776 of the family's 1533-position model. The record is from RNAcentral.
UACAGAGGUCUCAAGCGUUGUUCGGAUUUAUUGGGCGUAAAGAGCGUGUAGGCGGCCAGGUAGGUCUGGUGUGAAAACUCGAGGCUUAACCUCGAGAUGUCAUCGGAAACCAUCUGGCUAGAGUCCGGAAGAGGAGAGUGGAAUUCCUGGUGCAGAGGUGAAAUUCGUAGAUAUCGAGAGGAACACCGGUGGCGAAGGCGGCCUUCUGGACAGUGACUGACGCUGAGACGCGAAAGCGUGGGGAGCAAACAGG